Molecule: microRNA, 17 nt
Filed under: Corchorus capsularis
Lineage: Eukaryota; Viridiplantae; Streptophyta; Magnoliopsida; Malvales; Malvaceae
Description: sRNA CCACVL1_05073
Source: RNAcentral
AAACAUGGAUGCAAUUA